Long non-coding RNA from Motacilla alba alba, 732 nucleotides. RefSeq lists it as uncharacterized. The record is from RefSeq and is a predicted model, not a curated record. The transcript is spliced from 4 exons. Lineage: Eukaryota; Metazoa; Chordata; Aves; Passeriformes; Motacillidae.
AUUAGCUCUGGGAAAAAUAAAACUAGAGGGAUGUGUGGUGUAAGUUGAGAGAAAGAUGGUUGGGGGAAGAGGCAGGCUGGACUAAGAAGCUGGUGAGGAAAGGAAGACUUUGACAACAUGGGAGUGACUUUACUGAAUGCUGUAACUUCAUGCAGUUUGAGGCCUAACAAGAACUGUGGAUCUUCCCACAGCAGGGUUUGUCUGUAGGGUGAUGCACCUGGAAAAAGCACUGCCUGUGGUAGAUUGACAAGACCUAAAUUCUGUGGCAAGACACAGCAAGAUUUAGAGAGGAACAGAAGGAGCUGAAAACAUGAUGAAAGAGAGAGAUGUGAUCAGAUCAGGCUAGGUAUUACCACCAUUUCCAGCUGGCCCAGGCUUGGCCAGCAGCAGGUCCACCUUUGAUCCAUCUGGGAUUAGCUCUGUCAGACAUGGAGGAAGCUUCCAGCAACUUCUCACAGAAGCCACCCCCUGCAGCCCUCCUGCUACCAAAACCUGGGCAUACCAACCCAAUACAGUGUGCCUGACAGGCUAAGAGGAGACACAGCCAGGACAGGUGACCCAACGUGACCAAAGGAAUAUUCCAGACCAUAGGACAUCAUGCUCAGGAUAUAAAGCUGGGAAGAAAAAGGAGGAAGCAGGGGGACAUUCCAUGUGAUGGUGUUUGUCUUCCCAAGCCACCAUUACAUGUGAUGGGGCCCUGCUCCCCUGGAGAUGGCUGAACACCUGCCUGCC